GCCGCGUGAGGGACGACGGCCUUCGGGUUGUAAACCUCUUUCAGCUCUGACGAAGCGAAAGUGACGGUAGGAGCAGAAGAAGCACCGGCCAACUACGUGCCAGCAGCCGCGGUAAUACGUAGGGUGCAAGCGUUGUCCGGAAUUAUUGGGCGUAAAGAGCUCGUAGGCGGUUUGUCGCGUCGGGAGUGAAAACCAGGUGCUUAACACCUGGCUUGCUUUCGAUACGGGCAGACUAGAGGUAUUCAGGGGAGAACGGAAUUCCUGGUGUAGCGGUGAAAUGCGCAGAUAUCAGGAGGAACACCGAUGGCGAAGGCAGAUCUCUGGGCCGUAACUGACGCUGAGGAGCGAAAGGGUGGGGAGCAAACAGGCUUAGAUACCCUGGUAGUCCACCCCGUAAACGUUGGGAACUAGUUGUGGGGUCCAUUCCACGGAUUCCGUGCCGCAGCUAACGCAUUAAGCGCCCCGCCUG
RNAcentral lists this ribosomal RNA (469 nucleotides) under Pycnococcus provasolii. Its description in RNAcentral is "partial Bacterial small subunit ribosomal RNA". It matches the Rfam family "Bacterial small subunit ribosomal RNA", at positions 396 to 875 of the family's 1533-position model. The record is from RNAcentral. Lineage: Eukaryota; Viridiplantae; Chlorophyta; Pseudoscourfieldiophyceae; Pseudoscourfieldiales; Pycnococcaceae.